RNAcentral lists this non-coding RNA (45 nucleotides) under Schistosoma margrebowiei. The record is from RNAcentral. Lineage: Eukaryota; Metazoa; Platyhelminthes; Trematoda; Strigeidida; Schistosomatidae.
AUCCCGCUGACGAGUCCCAAACAGGACGAAACGCGCGUGCUGGAU